This 465-nucleotide ribosomal RNA is filed under the name uncultured bacterium. RNAcentral describes it as "bacterial SSU rRNA". It matches the Rfam family "Bacterial small subunit ribosomal RNA", at positions 338 to 795 of the family's 1533-position model. The record is from RNAcentral.
CCUACGGGUCGCACCAGUAGGGAAUCUUCGGCAAUGGACGAAAGUCUGACCGAGCAACGCCGCGUGAGUGAAGAAGGUUUUCGGAUCGUAAAACUCUGUUGUUAGAGAAGAACAAGAAGGAGAGUAACUGCUCUUACCUUGACGGUAUCUAACCAGAAAGCCACGGCUAACUACGUGCCAGCAGCCGCGGUAAUACGUAGGUGGCAAGCGUUGUCCGGAUUUAUUGGGCGUAAAGCGAGCGCAGGCGGUCUUUUAAGUCUGAUGUGAAAGCCCUCGGCUCAACCGAGGAAGGUCAUUGGAAACUGGAGGACUUGAGUGCAGAAGAGGAGAGUGGAAUUCCAUGUGUAGCGGUGAAAUGCGUAGAUAUAUGGAGGAACACCAGUGGCGAAGGCGACUCUCUGGUCUGUAACUGACGCUGAGGCUCGAAAGCGUGGGGAGCAAACAGGAUUAGAUACCCGCGUAGUC